AUAUCAUGGAAAUCAGGACAGUGGCAGUUCGGAUUGUGGCAAUCAAAGGGGUGGAAAGUGAAUUCUAUCUUGCAAUGAACGAGGAAGGAAAACUCUAUGCAAAGAAAUGGACACACAAUGGAGGGGAAAUGUUUGUUGCCUUAAAUCAAAAGGGGAUUCCUGUAAGAGGAAAAAAAACGAAGAAAGAACAAAAAACAGCCCACUUUCUUCCUAUGGCAAUAACUUAA
This 227-nucleotide long non-coding RNA is filed under the name Homo sapiens (human). Its description in RNAcentral is "non-protein coding lnc-FOXD4L5-31:1". Lineage: Eukaryota; Metazoa; Chordata; Mammalia; Primates; Hominidae. The record is from RNAcentral.